GAUGAACGCUGGCGGCGUGCUUAACACAUGCAAGUCGAACGAUGAAGCCCAGCUUGCUGGGUGGAUUAGUGGCGAACGGGUGAGUAACACGUGAGUAACCUGCCCUUAACUCUGGGAUAAGCCUGGGAAACUGGGCCUAAUACCGGAUAGGAGCGUCCACCGCAUGGUGGGGGCUGGAAAGAUUUAUCGGUUUUGGAUGGACUCGCGGCCUAUCAGCUUGUUGGUGAGGUAAUGGCUCACCAAGGCGACGACGGGUAGCCGGCCUGAGAGGGUGACCGGCCACACUGGGACUGAGACACGGCCCAGACUCCUACGGGAGGCAGCAGUGGGGAAUAUUGCACAAUGGGCGCGAGCCUGAUGCAGCGACGCCGCGUGAGGGAUGACGGCCUUCGGGUUGUAAACCUCUUUCAGUAGGGAAGAAGCGAAAGUGACGGUACCUGCAGAAGAAGCACCGGCUAACUACGUG
This 466-nucleotide ribosomal RNA is filed under the name uncultured bacterium. Its description in RNAcentral is "partial 16S ribosomal RNA". It matches the Rfam family "Bacterial small subunit ribosomal RNA", at positions 28 to 507 of the family's 1533-position model. The record is from RNAcentral.